GCGGAAUUUGCUGCGAAGAGUAGUGGAGUAGACCCAGAGUAGUGGAGUAGACCCGUGGCUAUUGCUAUGGCCUGCCACGUGGAGCCUGUUGCAGGUAGUGGAGCGGCGUCUGUUGCCGCUGAUUGCCAGGGAGUAGUCGAGUCACGCAGCACCCGCCGCAGGGAGUGGAGCAGAAUCACGGCCGUUAAUACAGCCUGUCAGAGAGUAAUGGGGUUGCGUAGGGUCCGCCGCAGGGAGUGGAGCAAAAUCAUGGCUGUUAAUACAGCCUGUCAGAGAGUAAUGGAGCUGCGCGAAAUCCGCUGCAGGAAGUGGAGCAGAAUCGUGGCCGUGAUUGUGGCCUGGGAGUGCAGAUCUGUCGGCUGAAGUUCGGCAGCGGUCGGAGUCCGGCUCCCGUAGGAGUCCGGACGAAGUCUGCUUGCGAUUGACAUUGUUGGCGGAGUCCGGCUCCCGUAGGAGUCCGGACGAAGUCUGCUCGUAGCUGUUGGAGUUGAGGACGAAGCCCGGCUCCCGUAGGAGUCCGGGCGGAGUCUCC
Molecule: long non-coding RNA, 532 nt
Filed under: Elaeis guineensis (African oil palm)
Lineage: Eukaryota; Viridiplantae; Streptophyta; Magnoliopsida; Arecales; Arecaceae
Description: long non-coding RNA (EGUI_LNC020340)
Source: RNAcentral